This 687-nucleotide ribosomal RNA is filed under the name Shewanella putrefaciens. RNAcentral describes it as "bacterial SSU rRNA". It matches the Rfam family "Bacterial small subunit ribosomal RNA", at positions 53 to 729 of the family's 1533-position model. The record is from RNAcentral. Lineage: Bacteria; Pseudomonadati; Pseudomonadota; Gammaproteobacteria; Alteromonadales; Shewanellaceae.
ACAUGCAAGUCGAGCGGCAGCACAAGUAAGUUUACUUAUGAGGUGGCGAGCGGCGGACGGGUGAGUAAUGCCUAGGGAUCUGCCCAGUCGAGGGGGAUAACAGUUGGAAACGACUGCUAAUACCGCAUACGCCCUACGGGGGAAAGAGGGGGACCUUCGGGCCUCUCGCGAUUGGAUGAACCUAGGUGGGAUUAGCUAGUUGGUGAGGUAAUGGCUCACCAAGGCGACGAUCCCUAGCUGUUCUGAGAGGAUGAUCAGCCACACUGGGACUGAGACACGGCCCAGACUCCUACGGGAGGCAGCAGUGGGGAAUAUUGCACAAUGGGGGAAACCCUGAUGCAGCCAUGCCGCGUGUGUGAAGAAGGCCUUCGGGUUGUAAAGCACUUUCAGUAGGGAGGAAAGGGUGAGUCUUAAUACGGCUCAUCUGUGACGUUACCUACAGAAGAAGGACCGGCUAACUCCGUGCCAGCAGCCGCGGUAAUACGGAGGGUCCGAGCGUUAAUCGGAAUUACUGGGCGUAAAGCGUGCGCAGGCGGUUUGUUAAGCGAGAUGUGAAAGCCCUGGGCUCAACCUAGGAAUAGCAUUUCGAACUGGCGAACUAGAGUCUUGUAGAGGGGGGUAGAAUUCCAGGUGUAGCGGUGAAAUGCGUAGAGAUCUGGAGGAAUACCGGUGGCGAAGGCGGCCCCC